RNAcentral lists this long non-coding RNA (7352 nucleotides) under Ananas comosus (pineapple). RNAcentral describes it as "long non-coding RNA (ACOM_LNC023547)". Lineage: Eukaryota; Viridiplantae; Streptophyta; Magnoliopsida; Poales; Bromeliaceae. The record is from RNAcentral.
CUGUUGAGCAGCCAGUGUGCGGACUAUCCGCAGAGGAUUGACUCAAGACCGAGUCGAGUGGCAUAGAUGGCUAAGGUAUGAGCAACCUUAGGAAAGAAUCGCCAAUGAGCGUAAUGUGACCAAGUAAAGACUAGAGAAAAGCUAAUGAUAAAGAAUAGCUAAUAAAGUAUAGAUCGGCUACAAGUAAAGAAUGGCUAAUAAUAUGAAGUAGAAUCAAUUAAUCUACUUGCAUAAAGUUACAGGUAUUGCAUAUUGCAUUUCGGGAGACAUGACAUUUAGUUCAAUAUCGAAUAUAUGUCUGUUAUAUGUUAUUGGACUAACUUGUUGCAGUGCCUCCUUGGACCUAUUGGUCGAGCUUUUCCCUUGGGUGGCCGUACCCACUGGGAACCAUGGAGUUGGUUCUCACCCCACGUUGUUUUGGGGUGUUACAGGUUUGCACGUGAGCGGCGCAGCGGCGCGAGGCAAGGGCGUAGCUUCGUAGAUAGCGCCCUACCCAGAGACCAGAGAUAGUGGUACCCCGAGUCGGCAUAGCCUAAGGGUAGAGGAAAAUGAAAGAAUAAGAUGUAUCAUAUGUGUAAUAAAUUAUAAUAACUCGGAUUGUAUGUUGGAGAAAGUGUAAUUGUGAUGUAAGCAAAUGUAUCAAUGUGAAUGCUUGUAAUAACAUAGGAUGUGUUUAUGUUGUUGAUACCUUUACAUAUGCAAUCUGUAUGUUGAUUUCUGUUCCUGGUUGGAACAUCAUGAAUUGUAUUGAUUACGCCGCCUAGGACGUACAGGGGAAACUCUAUCCGUUCGGCGGUCUGUCGGCGUGCCCGAAUCUGACCAAAUAGGCGGGUGUCGGGGCGUGACAGAUAAGGUGGUAUCAAAGCAUAAAGUAGAGAAUGGGAUGGCUUAAGCGAACCUAGGAGACCCUAGGAUAGUAAAACCAUAGAGGUUAAGGCAAGUGAGAGACGAGGACAUGUGACUUGUGGCGAAAGGAUUAUGGAUUUGGACGUGUUAUAAACCUCUAAGACGGAUAUUAGAGGUAGAUUCGAGGUGUGGUUUAUUCUCAGCCGAGGGUAUUCAUGUUCGGCAUACGACAACAUGAAACUUAGUGAUGAGAAUAGACGCCCUCGCGUGACUUUCGCCUGAUUGGCUUUCGAGCCGGUGUUAGUGGUCUCGUGUUCGACCCAAGUUGGUCGAGAACUAAUCGAGUUGUCGUGUUUCAGGAAGCGAUGGCACCGCGUAGGCGAUCUUCGUCCAGAUCGGCGCGGGAGGGGACAAGUGGUGUUCCCGAGCAAGUCGACGCGAGCGAAGGCGUAGAGCUUCGUGAUAAGUUGGCCACACUCGUAGGAGUGAUGAGGCAACAGGCUGAUGUGGUGCAGCGGCAGCAGGAGGCUGCUGUGCGCCAGAAGGAGCGAAUGAAAAGACUCCAAGAAACGGUGGAUCGGCUGGUGGCAGCUCGUCAAGAACGGCUGGGAGCCGCGACGGAGACGUUUCCAUCGGGGUUGGGUGACCCGACCCCUAUUAGUCCAGAGGUGGAGGCGGAGAGGGAACGAGCUAUGGCGGCCCUUAUGACCUUCAAAAAGUUUGAUCCGCCUACCUUUGAUGGAGAGGAUACAGAUCCGUGGAUCGUAGAGAUGUGGAUUGAUUCCAUGGAAACACUAUUCGAGGAUUUAUACACGUUGGAGCGGGACAAGGUAAACCUAGUCGUGCACUGUCUGAAACAGUCGGCGAAGGUGUGGUGGAAAGGCGUUAAGCGAGAUCGAUCGCCUGGUCUCCCUCCUAUGACUUAGGAAGAAUUUCGGGGAUUGGUGUUCUCGGCCUAUUUCCCUGACAAUGAAAAGCGAAAGCUUAAGAAAAGGUUCCAAAAGCUGCGGCAAGGAGAUCGCUCAGUGAGGCAAUAUGAGCGGAAAUUUUUCCGUAUCGUGCAUUGUGUCCCGAAUGUGGUAUGGGAUGACAAGGACAAAGCUGAAUGCUUUGCACGGGGACUUCAACCGGAUAUUUUCAAGGCUGUGCAUGAUCUUAAAUUGCAGACUUUUGCCGAAGCCUUAGAUCGAGCCUUGUGGAUAGAACAAGGCGAAGCAUCGGUGCGGGAGGAGCGCGAGGCAAAGUACGAGGAAAAAGAAAAAGGAUGACCAACGAGUGGAUCCGGUGGUCAGUCAAGUUCCCGACGAACUUCAAUGAGUUCGCGCUCGCGGUCCCGAGCUCCGGGGACAUACCGUGUUCGGUCCUCGGCGAGAUGUAUUAUUUGUGGGGGCCCUCAUUUUCCACAGCAGUGUGAGCAGCAUUAGGGCAAGUGCUUCAAGUGUGGGCUGCCGGGUCAUUUGCGGGACGACUGUCCGCAAGGCGAUAACCCGGCCUUGAUGCUGGUGACGGCCCAUUCCUCUCUGGGACAGCCUGCAGGUGUGCCACUUGCGGCAUGGUCGGGAGAGCGACCGUUGAGGAUGGUGCAACCGGAGGGUUCGCGGCGAGCGCCAAGUGGCUAUUGAUACGCGACCCGAGUGGUAGAACCUGCCGCUGCUGACGACGUCAUGGCAGGUAUGAGUUAAUUAAGCAAGUAUAUGCUGCUAUUUGAUAUCAAGUUAAUGCAUAGCAUGCAUUUUAUUGAAUGGUCGGUUGCUACUAAUUAUGCAUUGCAUAGUAGGGACCCAUAGGGCGAGUAUAGGUAGAUACCCGAGCAUGCUUAUGCGGUGAGAGUGUGGCGCCUACUAGAGCAGGUAGAGAGCCAACUGGUACCAGCAGAUGGCUAGUAAGGAUUUUUGCACGAGGAGUGAGACUCGUGGUGAAUGCGAAGUGGUGAAGCGACUCUCAAAGCAAUGGAUAUUAGAUUGCGAGAGUUGCACCGUGACAUUAUGGAUACCCAAGUAGUCCGAGUGAUUCGGAUGUCGUUCCGGUAGAUCGAGCAGUGAAAGUAGAAUCACUGUUGAGUGAAUAGCCGGUUAAUGGCCGAGUACGGGCAUGUGAGACCUAGUAGUACCUCAAAUUUAGGUAGGUAAGUUGUGCCUAUGUCGUUAGUGCGCUUAGGCAAAGUUGCCUAAUGCUUGACGUAGUUGGGACGUAGUAGAGGCAUAUAGAGCGCUCGAGUAUAGGUACUCGAGGGUGUCGUUGAGAAUCAGCUGGGAGAGUGUUGGCAGUAGCACUGUAGCAUUGCUAAGUGUGAAGCGGGCCAUGGAUCACUCGUGGGGCUAGUGGCUCGCACUAGGUGCUUAGGAGCCGAUAGUGGUGUUUGUAGCUUGUCGGAGCAUGUCGUGUAGGACGACGACGGCCGGUAUUGCUUAGGGACGACCCGUUCCUGGACCACAUGUGGACUGUAGAGCCUGGGCCCGUUGGGCAGGCGCAGUUAGCUGUGUGGAGCAGCGGCCCGGUUGUGGGGCAGAGUUUGGUCAGGGCGGUAGUCCGAGCUGAGACCCGAGAGCGUGGGAUGCCACGUGUUGGAACAUGUGAUUGGUGACACACAGAGUGUGUAGUGACCCAACACAAGGACUGGAUGCGGAUUGGGGUCUCGAUAGCUCCUGAUUGGAGUGUGUGCGAAUUCCCAAGUGAGAAUUUCGCCCGAGAAUGUUGAUUGGGUCUGUGUUGCGAGCGAGAGACACUACGCAUGAUUGAGACAGGUUUAGGCCAUAGGCCUUUGUGGAAUUGGCGGUCUAUCGACCACCCAUGGAAACCGAUGAGCGGUAUGACCGAUAAUUUCAUGGAGGAGUUGGUGUAAGGAAGUGAAUUCUCGAAAUGCGAGAGUUGAACUUCGCUCAAGAUCGACUAAUUAUCGAGUAGGAGCACUUCGUAAAGGCCGAAGAAGUCAAAUGCACUAAAAGUGCAUUGCAAUGGAGUCCGCGAGAGCAAAUGGUGCAAGAAUUUGCACUUGGCAGAUUUGCUCUCGGGGACCGGUCCCUGGCGGGAGGGACCGGUCCCUGGCGGGAGGGACCGGUUCCCGAACGUGGUCUGCGCGAGCAUGCUCUCGGGGACCGGUCUCAAGAGGAAGGGACCGGUUGCCCCGAGGUGGAGGGUUGCGCAGCACGGGGCAACCGGUCCCAGGUAGGGCAAGACCGGUCCCCGAGUAUGAAUUUUGCCCAGGCAGGCUAGGUCAUGUUAGAGAAGUUGGAGAACUUGAGGAUAAUGCUCUUUUGUGGAUUGAGAUUCGUGAUGCGCCGGAGUAGGCCAUCUCUCAAUAGAGCAAAGAUCCGGAUGUGAUUGGGGCACUUGCGAUUGGUCGAUGCACCGGUAAUAUUGCUUCUAAGCAAUGAUGGUGAUCGAAUCAGAAUACCCUAAGGGGGAAAGUAAAUGCAAGGAAAAGUUCUUGCAUACCAGGUUGUGAAUGGUGUUGGAGCGCGUAGAGUCGUUGAGUUUCGACUUGCGCUACCACCAAGAAUAACGGAGACCGUAAUGCACUUUGCGAGAUGCACCUUGCGAAGUUGUACGAGUUUGGUAUUGUACUCUCCGUAUUGGGCCUCUUGGAUAGUUCCAAAGAGUGUAAAGCCAUUCCGAAGUGGAAAAGUGUAUUGGUGCCCUCAAUUGCUCGAGGAGCUGAAUUGAGGUGCGGUUUGAGUUUCGCGGACGAAACUCUUUUAAAGGAGGGAAGAAUGUAACAUACCGAACUUCUAAAACAUUGAAGUUACGGUGUACAUUUGGUUGGAAAGCCAUUUGAAUGAUCCCGAUGAAGUUCGGUGAAGUUCUGGAGCAUUCGUGCAUUUCGGUGCGCGUAGGCGCGAAAACGAAACCCGAAAGGCUAUGUUGGACCGUGAGCUAAAUCCAAUACUAGAGUGGAUGAAAAGAUGAUGAAAACAUGUUUGAAAACAUGUUUGGAGAGUCUCGGUUCGAUUUGAAAAGAAUCGGAGGUCAAACGAGCGAAAACGAGCGAAAACGGAGCGAAAACGGACGAAGGCUGAGAAUGCUGAAAAAUUGGCUAAGUCUGGAGAUUUGGUCCUUCGGGGACCGGUCUCUCACUGCCUGGGACCGGUCCCAGAGACCCGAAAAUGCCCAGUUCGGGCUGUUGCAAGAGAGGCAUUGUUGAGGGGCUUAUGUGCAAUUGCUGCAUAGGUUAAGUGUAUAGAGAGGGUUAGAACACCUCUCUCUCUCUCUUUCCCUCACCGUAACACCCCAAAAUCCACCCCUCUCUCUCUCUAAACAAAAAAGAAGAAGAGAAGAAGAAAAGGAAAAAGAAGAAGAGAAGAAGAAGAAGAAGGAGAAGAAGGUCAAGAAAGGGAUCCUCGUCGUCUCCUUCCUCUUCCUUGUGUUUGGUGAAGCUUGGAGAGGUAAGCUUUGUAACCCUACAAUGGUAGAUCUCUAGAGUUUGAUUCUAAUGCUCUAGAAAUGGAUUUAGCAGCAUUCCUAGAUGCUAAUUAGGUGUUUAUUGCAUGAAUCGAAGAUCGAUUUGGUAGUUUUUGCAAUUGUAGCAUCUAGGGCAUCCAAAGUGGGAUUUUUGUAAAUAGAUGAGUUUGAUCUCAUUUGACCCUUCGUAAACCUAAUUGGUAGGUAACGAAACACGUUGGCGAAGUCGGUUCGGCACAUAACCGAAGACCUAUAAUUUCCGGGGCUGCGAAGCGAAGCACGGUUGUGGUGCAGUCGCAAUAUUGGGCCGUGCCGGAUACGGGUGCCGCGGGAGGCCGAUUGCAAGUGUCGACAAACAAUCGGAACACGAGUUAAGGUGGGUUGUGUUUACCGAAGCGACUAGGUCGCCUAUAUGUCUAAGUUAAAUGUUUAUCAUUGAUGCAUGUAGUGUUUGCUAUUGAUAGAGCAUGUGUAUGUAUAAGAUGAAUGCUAAGCUAGGCUACCAACGAUGCAAAAUGACAUAGUAUAAACAAUGCUAAGUGGAAAGCAUAAAGUAAAUGACACAUGUUAGUCAUGUUGCAUGUGUAGAAAUGUAAUGUAAGAAUGCAUAUAGAUAUGAAAUAAGAAUGUAAAGAUGUUAAGUAUAUGACAUGUGCAUGUGGAUAUAUAUAUACACAUAGAUCGAGUGGCAUUGAACCUAGUGUCAUGAACCUAGGAAAGAUUGAGUGGCAUCGAACCUAGUGUUAAUAAACAUAGGUUGAACGAGAAUGACAAUGGACCUAGUGUCAAGGACAUAGGUUGAACAAGAGUGAUAAUGAACCUAGUGUUAAUGAAUAUAGGUUAACGAGAAAGGCAUUAAACCUAAUAUUAGAGAACAUAGGUUGUGAGAUAAAGGUAAGAACCUAGAGUCAAGUGAAUCUAGGUAGACGAGAAUAAUAGACCUAGUGUUAAUAAACCUAGGCUAAGAGUAUGGAAGCAAUGAACCUAAAGUAUUAACUUAGAUUGAGUAAAAGCUUGAACCUAGAUAGGUCAAUUUCAUAGGGUUAAGACCAACCCUUGAGUACUGUGAAAUGGAUUCCAGAAUCCCAGAACUUGUGGAACACCAAGAGUGGUGCGGGCUGUGUGCGACGAUUUCGCCGCCCGAGGCUAAAGAACCAUUGUCGUGGCGUGUGCGACGAUUUCGCCGCCGGAUGGUUGAGCCAGUUUGUGGAUCAUGCCGCAGGGUGACUUGAUCCAUAGCUGAGCGUGUGCGACGAUUUCGCCGCCGGGUGGCCGAGUCAUCGAGUGCGAUGGGCUGUUGAGCAGCCAGUGUGCGUACUAUCCGCAGAGGAUUGACUCAAGACCGAGUCGAGUGGCAUAGAUGGCUAAGCUAUGAGCAACCUUAGGAAUGAAUCGCCAAUGAGCGUAAUGUAACCAAGUAAAGACUAAAGAAAAGCUAAUGGUAAAGAAUAGCUAAUAAAGUAAAGAUCAGCUACAAGUAAAGAAUGGCUAAUAAUAUGAAGUAGAAUCAAUUAAUCUACUUGCAUAAAGUUACAGGUAUUGCAUACUGCAUUUCGCGAGGCAUGACAUUUAGUUCAAUAUCGAAUAUAUAUCUGUUAUAUGUUAUUGGACUAACUUGUUGUAGUGCCUCCUUGGACCUAUUGGUCGAGCUUUUCCUUGGGUGGCCGUACCCACUGGGAACCAUGGAGUUGGUUCUCACCCCACGUUGUUUUGGGGUGUUACAGGUUUGCACGUGAGCGGCGCUGCGGCGCGAGGCAAGGGCGUAGCUCCGUAGAUAGCGCCCUACCCAGAGACUAGAGAUAGUGGUACCCCGAGUCGGCAUAGCCUAAGGGUAGAGGAAAAUGAAAGAACAAGAUUUAUCAAAUGUGUAAUAAAUUGUAAUAACGCAGAUUGUAUGUUGGAGAAAGUGUAAUUGUGAUGUAAGCAAAUGUAUCAAUGUGAAUGCUUGUAAUAACAUAGGAUGUGUUUAUGUUGUUGAUACCUUUCCAUAUGCAAUCUGUAUGUUGAUUUCUGUUCCUGGUUGGAAUAUCGUGAAUUGUAUUGAUUGCGAUGCCUAGGACGUACAGGGAAAAUUCUGUCCGUUAGGCGGUCUGUCGGCGUGCCCGAAU